Long non-coding RNA from Lolium perenne, 191 nucleotides. RefSeq lists it as uncharacterized. The record is from RefSeq and is a predicted model, not a curated record. Lineage: Eukaryota; Viridiplantae; Streptophyta; Magnoliopsida; Poales; Poaceae.
CUCCACCAAAAAGGGCACGGGUUGAAAAGAUUGUUGAUCCUGCCCCUCAGUUGGGCAGUUCGUCGCCCCCGCUCCUAGAUGAUCCUAUGAUCAAGGAUCUUCUCCGCAUCGGUUCCCAAUUUAUUGGGUACCGUGAAUAUGCUAAUAGAGCCGAAGAGAAAUUUGCAGAGGCUAACGAACGCGCCGACGCA